AGCGAACGCUGGCGGCAGGCCUAACACAUGCAAGUCGAACGGACCUUCCGUGCUUACUUGCGGUCUUGUGUUUAACACGUCGGAACGUGCCUUUAGGUUCGGGAUUCUUCAUUUAAACUUGUGCUAAUACCGCAUGUGCCCUUCGGGGAUAAGAUUAAUCGCCUUUAGAUCGGCCCGCGUCCGUUUAGCUCGUUGGUUGAGGUAAUGCCUCACCACGGCUACGAACAGUAUGUGGUCUGAGAGGAGGGUCAGUCACAUUGGAACUAAGACACGGCCCAAAAUCGGACGCAAGAGAGAGGUGGAGAAACUUGCGGAACGGGCGAAAGCCGGACGCAGCCAUGCGGCGUGAAUGAUGAGGGUCUUAGGAUAGUAAAAUGCUUUCACAGGAAACGAUAAUGACGGUACCGGGAGAAGAAGCCCCGGCUAACUUCGUG
This 434-nucleotide ribosomal RNA is filed under the name uncultured bacterium. Its description in RNAcentral is "partial 16S ribosomal RNA". It matches the Rfam family "Bacterial small subunit ribosomal RNA", at positions 29 to 507 of the family's 1533-position model. The record is from RNAcentral.